AGCGAACGCUGGCGGCAGGCCUAACACAUGCAAGUCGAGCGCCGUAGCAAUACGGAGCGGCAGACGGGAGAGUAACACGUGGGAACGUGCCCUUCAGUUCGGAACAACCCAGGGAAACUUGGGCUAAUACCGGAUAAGCCCUUACGGGGAAAGAUUUAUCGCUGAAGGAGCGGCCCGCGUCUGAUUAGCUUGUUGGUGAGGUAACGGCUCACCAAGGCGACGAUCAGUAGCUGGUCGAGAGGAUGAUCAGCCUCACUGGGACUGAGACACGGCCCAGACUCCUACGGGAGGCAGCAGUGGGGAAUAUUGGACAAUGGGCGCAAGCCUGAUCCAGCCAUGCCGCGUGGAUGAUGAAGGCCCUAGGGUUGUAAAGUCCUUUCGGCGGGGAAGAUAAUGACGGUACCCGCAGAAGAACGCCCCGGCUAACUUCGU
This 432-nucleotide ribosomal RNA is filed under the name uncultured bacterium. RNAcentral describes it as "bacterial SSU rRNA". It matches the Rfam family "Bacterial small subunit ribosomal RNA", at positions 29 to 506 of the family's 1533-position model. The record is from RNAcentral.